GACACGCCGACUCCAAGAAUUUUGGGUUCUUUGGUAUCUUUUUACAAGGCACGGCAAUCCACAGAAGCUCAUGUAAUCCUAAUCUUCUCCACCAUCCUUCUUCUCCAUCUUGCAACGCACGACACCAGUUGCGUCCUAAUCGCGCGGUGGCUAUUGUACACGACAUCGUUCGCUGGGACCUAAUCACGCGGUGGCUGUCGCGUUGUUGUUGACGCGGCCACCGCAGCCUCAGCCGUCUUGGCCACUUUCACGGCCAUCGCCGCUUUGGUCAUGUCUGGCACUAUGUGGUUCUUUGGCUGCCCGUAUGAAGAGAUAUGCCCUGUUUUUUAUAAAUAUUUAUUGUUUUAUCAAUAAAAUUAUUUUUUUUCAGUAUGAUAGUAUUAUUGCGAUGUUUUAUUGUUAUUGUUGAAUAGGAAUUUUCAUCGUAUAUUGUUAAUAUUUAGGUUCUCUCGGUUUCAUUGAUUACCUUGUCUAGAUGAAACUGCUUUUCCCACUAAUUUUAUCUUCUGCUCUUUCCAUUAGCCAAUUUAAUUACAUGGGUAUGGUGUUCUGAAAGGAAAUGGUUUUGGAAAAUCACUAUUAUCCUUUGCCUGUGUGAACAUGAUAAUCACUUUGAUCCCUUGUUAUAUCUCAGCAUGUUGAAAAUAUUUCUAUUUUUAAACAAUUGGAUGACAUCAUCUUCAUUAUCAUUUUAAGAGCCCAGAAAAAAAUAUGUCAUUUUCUGAGAAUAAUUAAAGCUUCUGAACUUUGUAGUGCAAACUCUAAAGUAGAGAAUGUCAGUUUAAUUCUCAAAUGAUGAUUUUGAUUCCUUAUAUUUAUACUAUUUGAUGAUCUCCUAUUUUGCAUUUCAUGUUACUUUAGUAAAAUGUAAUGGUGAGCUCUUGUUCAGUUAAGUGAUAGUAUUUCAUUUCUCCACACUGUUUAAUGCAACAUGUAACUCAUGAUUUGGAACAAAGAUGAAUCAGAAGUUUCGUUCACCUAUUAUUAAUUUGCCUCCAGGUAGAGACAAAUAUGGGUCUAAGUUCCUUUUUAUCAGUUUUUAUCUCUGUGUUUUACUUAUACUGCUAACAAUAUUGCAUAUUUAAUUGGUACUACAGUUUGAACUGGAUGCCUCUUGUAUGACAGGUCCAUGGGCACAAUUCAGUAGUUGAAAUAAUAGCAGUCCACUACAAAUUUUUAGUAAGUCUCCUCGUGGGGGUGCAAUGAGUCCUGCUGGAAAUAACCAUGUGGUUGGAUUAGCAUCUGUACUUUCCCUAAUUUUAUCAACUUCUGCUAAGAUUGCACCAAUUGGGAAGGACCAAAAAAAAGGAGGCAUUCAAUGGGAAUAAAUUGGAGAAGUUCAACAGUGAGAAGGUUGAUUCUCUAGCAUAUGCCUGAAUCCAAGGCAGAACAACAUUUGUUGACCAUUUGCAGAACUCAAGCUUGAUGAACGAGGAUAAGAGAUGUCACCCUAUUCUUUUUUAUUAUGAGAGAAAAGGGCCGGUGAUUAGGAACUCAUUCAAUUAAGCAAUAUGCAUGCUCCUUAAGAUGUGGGAAAGGUGGGGAGUCACCUGAAAAUCCAGAAGAGAGCAAUCCAAAUAGAACAUCUAGAAGGGACUCACUUGAAGUUUUCGGGAUAAUUGUUACCCGAAACUAGCUUCAAAGGAUAGUGCUUGACUAAUGCAUGGCAAACAUGAGUGUGAAUACUAACCUGUCCAUAGCUAUCCAAGUGUACGAUAUGGUGAGUGUGGGAAAUUCAGUUAGAAGUUGUAUUGAAAGGGUGCAUCCACUUUUGAAACCCGUGUGUGGUUAAUGGAAAUACGAAUUAUAUUGUAUGAUACUUUGGAUGUUAAAUUGUAUGAUACUUUUGGAUUAGAAAUUAA
Molecule: long non-coding RNA, 1862 nt
Organism: Zingiber officinale
Lineage: Eukaryota; Viridiplantae; Streptophyta; Magnoliopsida; Zingiberales; Zingiberaceae
Exons: 3
Source: RefSeq, a predicted model, not a curated record